This 734-nucleotide ribosomal RNA is filed under the name uncultured bacterium. RNAcentral's name for it is "bacterial SSU rRNA". It matches the Rfam family "Bacterial small subunit ribosomal RNA", at positions 95 to 818 of the family's 1533-position model. The record is from RNAcentral.
GUGGCGUAAGGGUGCGGAAUGGAUAGGUAACGUACCCCAAACUUCGGGAUAGCGUCUGAUUGCUUCGGCAAUCUUCCGAAAGGGGCGGUAAUACCGGAUAAUAUCAUAUCUCAUAAGGGAGAUGAUCAAAGAUUUAUCGGUUUGGGAGCGGCCUAUUUCCUAUCAGCUUGUUGGUGAGGUAACGGCUCACCAAGGCAGCGACGGGUAGCGGGACUGAGAGGUUGACCCGCCACAUCGGGACUGAGACACUGCCCGGACCUCCACGGAGGGCUGCAGUAACGAAUAUUGCGCAAUGGGCGAAAGCCUGACGCAGCGACGCCGCGUGUAGGAAGAAGCUUUUCGGAGUGUAAACUACUGUCAGGGGUCAGAAAGUAUGCUUCGGCAUAUUGAUCAGCCCCAGAGGAAGUCACGGCUAACUUCGUGCCAGCAGCCGCGGUAAUACGAAGGUGGCGAGCGUUGUUCGGAAUCACUGGGCUUAAAGCGCGCGUAGGCGGAGUGGAUAGUGUCUUGUGAAAGUCCUCGGCUUAACCGGGGAAUUGCUUGGCAAACUUCCAUUCUUGAGGCAAGUAGGGGUACAUGGAACUCUUGGUGGAGCGGUGGAAUGCGUAGAUAUCAAGAGGAACGCCAAUGGUGAAGACAGUGUACUGGGCUUGUCCUGACGCUGAGGUGCGAAAGCGUGGGGAGCGAACGGGAUUAGAUACCCCGGUAGUCCACGCCGUAAACGAUGUCUACUA